Molecule: ribosomal RNA, 253 nt
Filed under: uncultured bacterium
Lineage: Bacteria
Description: partial 16S ribosomal RNA
Rfam family: Bacterial small subunit ribosomal RNA
Source: RNAcentral
UACGUAGGGUGCAAGCGUUAAUCGGAAUUACUGGGCGUAAAGCGUGCGCAGGCGGUUAUGUAAGACAGUUGUGAAAUCCCCGGGCUCAACCUGGGAACUGCAGCUGUGACUGCAUAGCUAGAGUACGGUAGAGGGGGAUGGAAUUCCGCGUGUAGCAGUGAAAUGCGUAGAUAUGCGGAGGAACACCGAUGGCGAAGGCAAUCCCCUGGACCUGUACUGACGCUCAUGCACGAAAGCGUGGGGAGCAAACAGG